AUUGAACGCUGGCGGCAGGCCUAACACAUGCAAGUCGAACGGAGUGGCGAACGGGUGAGUAACACGUGGGUGACCUGCCCUGCACUUCGGGAUAAGCCUGGGAAACUGGGGCUAAUACCGGAUAGUGUGGGAUGGGCCCGCGGCCUAUCAGCUUGUUGGUGGGGUAAUGGCCUACCCAGGCGGCGACGGGUAGCCGGCCUGAGAGGGUGGACGGCCACAGUGGGACUGGGACACGGCCCAGACUCAUACGGGAGGCAGCAGUGGGGAAUAUUGCGCAAUGGGCGGAGGCAUGAUGCAGCGACGCCGCGUGGGAGAUGGCGGCCUUCGGGUUGUAAACUCCUUUCACCAUCGACGCGGUAGAUGGAGAAGAAGCACCGGCUAACUACGUGCCAGCAGCCGCGGUAAUAC
Molecule: ribosomal RNA, 408 nt
Filed under: uncultured bacterium
Lineage: Bacteria
Description: partial 16S ribosomal RNA
Rfam family: Bacterial small subunit ribosomal RNA
Source: RNAcentral